GGGGCUGUAGUGUAGCUUGGCCAGCGCAAAUCAGAGAUUUGCUAUCUCUUGGAUAGCUUCCAACCCCGGUUCGAAUCCGGGCAGCCCCA
Molecule: transfer RNA, 89 nt
Filed under: archaeon
Lineage: Archaea
Description: tRNA-Ala
Rfam family: tRNA
About the family: Transfer RNA (tRNA) molecules are approximately 80 nucleotides in length. Their secondary structure includes four short double-helical elements and three loops (D, anti-codon, and T loops).
Source: RNAcentral